CGCUCUCUGUCAUGAGAAUGCCUAAAUAGAGAGUCGGACCUGCCCAGUGACAUGCGUGUUAAACGGCCGCGGUACUCUGACCGUGCAAAGGUAGCAUAAUCACUUGCCUUUUAAUUGGAGGCUUGUAUGAAUGGUUUGACGAGAGCUAAGCUGUCUCCUUUUUAAAUAUUUAAAAAUUAACUUGUAGGUGAAGAGGCCUAUAUGUAUUUGAGGGACAAGAAGACCCUGUUGAGUUUGAGUGUAGCCGGGAAUUAAGUUUUAUCUAGUUUUUGGUUAAAUUGUAGGUAAUAAAGUUGUAUAUAAUAGAGGCUAGGUUUUUGGUAAAUCUUUAGUUGGGGCGACUGAGGAAUAUAGUAAGCUUCCUUUAAAUGUAUUAUGGCUGUCAAGUUAUUUUGAUCCAGUUUUUACUGAUCAAAGGAAAAAAUUACCACAGGGAUAACAGCGUAAUCUUUUUGGAGAGUUCUUAUCGAAGAAAGGGUUUGCGACCUCGAUGUUGGACUAAGAUAUCCCGAGGGUGUAGAAGCUUUUGAGGGUUGGUCUGUUCGACCAUUAAAAUCUU
RNAcentral lists this ribosomal RNA (559 nucleotides) under Solariellidae sp. SW-2012-1. Its description in RNAcentral is "partial 16S ribosomal RNA". It matches the Rfam family "Bacterial large subunit ribosomal RNA", at positions 1816 to 2597 of the family's 2925-position model. RNAcentral also lists the same sequence under 2 other names. Lineage: Eukaryota; Metazoa; Mollusca; Gastropoda; Trochida; Solariellidae. The record is from RNAcentral.